Transfer RNA from Rhizoctonia solani AG-1 IA, 94 nucleotides. It matches the Rfam family "tRNA". From Rfam's summary of the family: Transfer RNA (tRNA) molecules are approximately 80 nucleotides in length. Their secondary structure includes four short double-helical elements and three loops (D, anti-codon, and T loops). Lineage: Eukaryota; Fungi; Basidiomycota; Agaricomycetes; Cantharellales; Ceratobasidiaceae. The record is from Rfam.
ACGCCGUUGGUGAAAUGGUUAUCAUGCUUGCCUUCCACUGUUCAAUCCACAGCCACGGCAGCAAGCGGCGGGGGUUCGAUUCCCUCACGGCGUA